AGUAACCUUCAGGGUUAGGUGAAAUUCCUUACCGGCGGUAUGGCCUUGGGCCGAGCCCGCGAGCCCGCAAGGGCAGGAUCUGGUGAGAUGCCAGAGCCGACAGUUAAAGUCUGGAUGGGAGAAGGUUGUC
This 130-nucleotide non-coding RNA is filed under the name Desulforamulus ferrireducens. RNAcentral's name for it is "Desulfotomaculum ferrireducens FMN sequence". It matches the Rfam family "FMN riboswitch aptamer (RFN element)". From Rfam's summary of the family: The RFN element is a highly conserved domain that is found frequently in the 5'-untranslated regions of prokaryotic mRNAs that encode for flavin mononucleotide (FMN) biosynthesis and transport proteins. This element is a metabolite-dependent riboswitch that directly binds FMN in the absence of proteins. In Bacillus subtilis, the riboswitch most likely controls gene expression by causing premature transcription termination within the 5' untranslated region of the ribDEAHT operon and precluding access to the ribosome-binding site of ypaA mRNA. Lineage: Bacteria; Bacillati; Bacillota; Clostridia; Eubacteriales; Peptococcaceae. The record is from Rfam by way of RNAcentral.